UGGGGAAUUUUGGACAAUGGGCGAAAGCCUGAUCCAGCAAUGCCGCGUGUGUGAAGAAGGCCUUCGGGUUGCAAAGCACUUUUGUCCGGAAAGAAAUCCUUGGCUCUAAUACAGUCGGGGGAUGACGGUACCGGAAGAAUAAGCACCGGCUAACUACGUGCCAGCAGCCGCGGUAAUACGUAGGGUGCAAGCGUUAAUCGGAAUUACUGGGCGUAAAGCGUGCGCAGGCGGUUUGCUAAGACCGAUGUGAAAUCCCCGGGCUCAACCUGGGAACUGCAUUGGUGACUGGCAGGCUAGAGUAUGGCAGAGGGGGGUAGAAUUCCACGUGUAGCAGUGAAAUGCGUAGAGAUGUGGAGGAAUACCGAUGGCGAAGGCAGCCCCCUGGGCCAAUACUGACGCUCAUGCACGAAAGCGUGGGGAGCAAACAGGAUUAGAUACCCUGGUAGUCCACGCCCUAAACGAUGUCAACUAGUUGUUGGGGAUUCAUUUCCUUAGUAACGUAGCUAACGCGUGAAGUUGACCGCCUGGGGAGUACGGUCGCAAGAUUAAAA
RNAcentral lists this ribosomal RNA (551 nucleotides) under uncultured bacterium. Its description in RNAcentral is "partial 16S ribosomal RNA". It matches the Rfam family "Bacterial small subunit ribosomal RNA", at positions 355 to 899 of the family's 1533-position model. The record is from RNAcentral.